RNAcentral lists this ribosomal RNA (269 nucleotides) under uncultured archaeon. RNAcentral's name for it is "partial 16S ribosomal RNA". It matches the Rfam family "Archaeal small subunit ribosomal RNA", at positions 477 to 747 of the family's 1478-position model. The record is from RNAcentral.
CAGCACCUCAAGUGGUCAGGAUGAUUAUUGGGCCUAAAGCAUCCGUAGCCGGCUCUGUAAGUUUUCGGUUAAAUCUGUAUGCUCAACAUACAGGCUGCCGGGAAUACUGCAGAGCUAGGGAGUGGGAGAGGUAGACGGUACUCGGUAGGAAGGGGUAAAAUCCUUUGAUCUAUUGAUGACCACCUGUGGCGAAGGCGGUCUACCAGAACACGUCCGACGGUGAGGGAUGAAAGCUGGGGGAGCAAACCGGAUUAGAUACCCGGUAGUCC